This 254-nucleotide ribosomal RNA is filed under the name uncultured bacterium. Its description in RNAcentral is "partial 16S ribosomal RNA". It matches the Rfam family "Bacterial small subunit ribosomal RNA", at positions 524 to 776 of the family's 1533-position model. The record is from RNAcentral.
UACGUAGGCAGCAAGCGUUGUUCGGAGUUACUGGGCGUAAAGGGUGUGUAGGCGGUUAUUUAAGUUUGGUGUGAAAUCUCCCGGCUCAACCGGGAGGGUGCGCCGAAUACUGAAUGACUUGGAGUGCGGGAGAGGAAAGUGGAAUUCCUGGUGUAGCGGUGAAAUGCGUAGAUAUCAGGAGGAACACCGGUGGCGUAGACGGCUUUCUGGACCGUAACUGACGCUGAGACACGAAAGCGUGGGUAGCAAACAGG